UGGGGAAUUUUGGACAAUGGGCGAAAGCCUGAUCCAGCAAUGCCGCGUGUGUGAAGAAGGCCUUCGGGUUGUAAAGCACUUUUGUCCGGAAAGAAAUCCUUGGCUCUAAUACAGUCGGGGGAUGACGGUACCGGAAGAAUAAGCACCGGCUAACUACGUGCCAGCAGCCGCGGUAAUACGUAGGGUGCAAGCGUUAAUCGGAAUUACUGGGCGUAAAGCGUGCGCAGGCGGUUUGCUAAGACCGAUGUGAAAUCCCCGGGCUCAACCUGGGAACUGCAUUGGUGACUGGCAGGCUAGAGUAUGGCAGAGGGGGGUAGAAUUCCACGUGUAGCAGUGAAAUGCGUAGAGAUGUGGAGGAAUACCGAUGGCGAAGGCAGCCCCCUGGGCCAAUACUGACGCUCAUGCACGAAAGCGUGGGGAGCAAACAGGAUUAGAUACCCUGGUAGUCCACGCCCUAAACGAUGUCAGCUAGUUGUUGGGGAUUCAUUUCCUUAGUAACGUAGCUAACGCGUGAAGUUGACCGCCUGGGGAGUACGGUCGCAAGAUUAAAACUCAAAGGAAUUGACGGGGUCAUAGCUGUUUCCU
Molecule: ribosomal RNA, 585 nt
Filed under: uncultured bacterium
Lineage: Bacteria
Description: partial 16S ribosomal RNA
Rfam family: Bacterial small subunit ribosomal RNA
Source: RNAcentral